AUGGCAGCCAUACUUGCAUCUUUGCUUGGAUCAUGUGCCAAUAAGUUGCAAAACAUCAUUACCGAUGAGGCCAUACUAAUCCUUGGCGUGGAAGAAGAUCUCAGAGAAGUCCUGCAGCGAGUAGAACUAAUACAGUGUUGCAUAUACGAUGCUGAGAAAAGGAGGACAAAAGAGCUAGCAGUAAACAAUUGGCUCGGCCAACUAAGAGAUGUUAUAUAUGAUGUUGAUGAAAUCCUGGACGUGGCUAGGUGUAAAGGAAGCAAGCUACUACCUGACGAUCCUUCAUCAUCAUCAACCACAUCGGCUGCAUGUAAAGGCCUCUCGGUUUCCUCUUGCUUUUGUAACAUCUGGUCACGUCGUGAUGUUGCUGUUCGGAUUAGAAGCCUCAACAAAAAAAUAGAGAACAUUUCAAAGGACACGGUAUUCUUCACACUCGACACUAAUAUACAGCCUACCAGAAAUGUUGCAACAUCCAAACUGAUAAGAAGCUCCAACCUUGUCGAGCCCAACCUUGUGGGGAAGGAGAUCAAAUAUGCUAGCAGGAAGCUGGUGGACUUAGUUGUUGCCCACAAGAAAAGUAAGUCUUACAAGCUUGCUAUUGUUGGAAAGGGAGGAGUUGGUAAGACAACACUAGCUCAGAAAAUAUACAAUGAUCAAACAAUAAAAGGAAGUUUCAAGAUACACGCAUGGAUUUGUGUUUCACAAGACUACAAUGAAGUAACUCUUCUUAAAGAGGUUCUCCGGAAUAUUGGUGUGCAUCAUGAGCAAGGUGAAACCAUAACCGAGCUCCAGAGGAAGCUUGCAGAAACAAUUGAAGGGAAGAGUUUCUUUCUGGUUCUAGAUGAUGUCUGGCAUUCCAAUGUAUGGAUGGAUCUAUUAAGGCCUGCAUUACAUGAAACAACAUCCGGAGUAAUAUUGGUAACCACACGAGAUGAUCAAAUUACAAGGAGAAUAGGUGUGCAGCAUAUCCAUCGAGUUGAUCUCAUGUCAGUAGAGGUGGGAUGGGAGCUACUUUGGAAGAGCAUGAACAUUGAUGAAGAGAAAGAAGUGCAGAAUUUGAGAAACACAGGGAUUGAGAUUGUUCGUAAAUGCGGUCGCCUCCCUCUUGCAAUCAAGGUAACUGCUAGUGCAUUGGCAAGCAGAGAUCUGACGGAGAAUGAGUGGAGAAAGUAUUUGGACAAAUAUGUUGGCUCCCACAACAUGAUCUCGGAUGAAAUCCAAGGAUCUCUGUAUCUAAGCUAUGAUGAGUUACCACAUCGUCUUAAGCAGUGUUUCCUAUAUUGUGCUCUGUAUGCUGAAGAUUCUAUCAUUUGGCGUAAUAAAGUUACCUGGUUAUGGAUUGCUGAAGGAUUCAUAGAGGAGCGGCAAGGCCAACUAAUAGAAGAUGUAGCAGAAGAGUACUACUACGAGCUAAUCCACCGUAAUCUCCUCCAAGCAGAUAUCUUAUAUUUUGGCAUGGUUGCCUCCAAAAUGCAUGACCUCUUAAGACAACUUGCACUGAACAUAUCAAGAGAAGAAUGUUUUAUUGGAGAUGUUGAAACAUUAAGGGGUGUAAAUAUGUCAAAACUGCGACGUGUUACUGCUGUUACUAAGAAGGAUAUGUUGGUGUUAUCUAGAGUGGAUAAGGUGGAUGUUAAGGUCAGGACUUUCCACGGAGGGAGUAGUAAGUUGAGGAAGCUUGUCAAUGUUGAAGAUGCACAAGUACCCUGUUUAUGGAUGUGUAACGAGCCGGUGAAGAAAGAAAUUGUCCUGUUUUCCUUUGGGCAGGUGCCCAGGAAAUACUGUAUCGAGUUUCGUUUUGUUUAUUUCUGA
This 1812-nucleotide ribosomal RNA is filed under the name Triticum aestivum (bread wheat). RNAcentral describes it as "partial small subunit ribosomal RNA". The record is from RNAcentral. Lineage: Eukaryota; Viridiplantae; Streptophyta; Magnoliopsida; Poales; Poaceae.